RNAcentral lists this ribosomal RNA (332 nucleotides) under uncultured bacterium. RNAcentral's name for it is "bacterial SSU rRNA". It matches the Rfam family "Bacterial small subunit ribosomal RNA", at positions 568 to 898 of the family's 1533-position model. The record is from RNAcentral.
CGUGUAGGUGGUUUGCUAAGUUGGGUGUUAAAUCUCUCGGCUCAACUGGGAGGUGUCGCUCAAAACUAGCAGACUGGAGGAUGGUAGAGGGAGGUGGAAUUCCGGGUGUAGUGGUGAAAUGCGUAGAUAUCCGGAGGAACACCAGUGGCGAAGGCGGCCUCCUGGACCAUUCCUGACACUCCAACGCGAAAGCUAGGGGAGCAAACGGGAUUAGAAACCCCGGUAGUCCUAGCUGUAAACGAUGUGAACUUGGUGUUGGCGGGGUAAAACCUGUCGGUGCCGAAGCAAACGCGAUAAGUUCACCGCCUGGGGACUACGGCCGCAAGGUUAAA